GAAACCGAAUAAGGAAAUGGAAAUUGAAUAAGGAAAUGAAAAUGAAAAUCCAAUAAGGAAAUAGAAACCGAAUAAGGAAACAGAAACCGAAAAAGGAAAUGAAUAUUGAAAAAGGAAAAAGAAACCGAAUAAGGAAAAAGGAAGAAAAGGAAAAAGAAACCGAAUAAGGAAAUGGAAAUUGAAUAAGGAAAUGAAAAUCCAAUAAGGAAAUAGAAACCGAAUAAGGAACUAGAAACGAAAAAGGAAAUGAAUAUUGAAAAAGGAAAAAGAAACGAAUUAAGGAAAUGAAAAUCGAAUAAGGAAAUGGAAAUCGAAUAAGGAAACGAAAAUCCAAUUAGGAAAUAGAAACUGAAUAAGGAAAUAGAAACCGAAAAAGGAAAUGAAUAUUGAAAAAAGAAAAAGAAACCGAAUAAGGAAAUGAAAAUCGAAUAAGGAAAUGGAAAUCGAAUAAGGAAAUGAAAAUCCAAUAAGGAAAUAGAAACUGAAUAAGGAAAUAGAAACUGAAUAAGGAAAUAGAAACUGAAUAAGGAAAUGAAUAUUGAAAAAGGAAAAAGAAACUGAAUAAGGAAAUGAAAAUCGAAUAAGGAAAUGAAAAUCCAAUAAGGAAAUAGAAACCGAAUAAGGAAAUAGAAACCGAAAAAGGAAAUGAAUAUUGAAAAAGGAAGAAGAAACCGAAUAAGGAAAAGAAAAUCGAAUAAGGAAAUGAAAAUCGAAUAAGGAAAUGGAAAUCGAAUAAGGAUGAUAAUCGAAAAAGGAAAAAGAAAACGAAUAAGGAAAUGAACAAAAAAUUUAAAGAAAAACUUUUUGAGGAAAAAUAUUUUGAGAAAAAAAAAAUUUGAGGAAAAAAAAUUUUGAGGAAAAAAAAAUUGAGGAAAAAAAAAUUUUG
This 886-nucleotide long non-coding RNA is filed under the name Mytilus galloprovincialis (Mediterranean mussel). Lineage: Eukaryota; Metazoa; Mollusca; Bivalvia; Mytilida; Mytilidae. The record is from RNAcentral.